GGGUUAGAACCCCUCACAAACGCGCGCAUAUCCAGCUGAGCUGGUCUUCACGUUGUUUAUAACCUGGUUCCAUUUAUAUUUAUACACUGAAACACACACUCACAUCUGACCUUUCCUCUUCUCUAUUGUUUAUAAAAGUUAAAACCCUAAUUCCUUUAUAUCAGCCGCUUACAUCUGUUUUUCCCUCUCAUUCUCAUGUCUGCUCAAUAUCUACAAAACAUACACACAAAUGGUCAUCAUAUAAAUCACAAGCAGGCCUCUCAUCCCUCUCUCGACUGUAUACGGCCGACUUUAAACCCACAACCACCUCACGCUCUAACUUUCCUCUAUUCCCCUCUCGAUCUCUCUACAUUUCGAACCAUCCACACAACCGUCAGAGAUCGGAGACACACACCAGAGUUACGUCGGAACUCGUAACGCUCGUCGGGCCUCGCCGGAGACCGAGAAGACGACCGGAGAGAACCGCAACCCGCCAAGAACCACCGCUAGAAGAUUUGAGGAGCAUCAAAGUCGCCGGAAGUAUACGUCGGAACUUGAAGACGUUGGCGAGCACAAUCGGAAACCGUUUUAUCUUCGUUUAGGGUAAUCGUGUUCGUCCUCUUGGAUUUCCCAACCCUUACUCGUGCGUUAUUUCAAGGAAAUUGUAUACGCAACCAAUGUUGAUGAUAAUGAGAUGAAAACGGAUAGCAAAGAUGCCUAGAUACUCA
Helianthus annuus (common sunflower) is the source of this 707-nucleotide long non-coding RNA. RefSeq lists it as uncharacterized. The transcript is spliced from 3 exons. NCBI's taxonomy places the organism in Eukaryota, Viridiplantae, Streptophyta, Magnoliopsida, Asterales, Asteraceae. The record is from RefSeq and is a predicted model, not a curated record.